AGAUAGAAAAUAGGUUUUUGAUUUAUGAGGAGAGAAGUGAGGGAAAAAAUUCACAGUGAAACUUUUGGAAUUGGAGAAAAAGAGGCAAGAGAAGAGAAAAACAAGAAAAAUCUAAGGAGAGCUCUAGGGAAGAAGUCAUAGCCAAAAGCUUGGAUUUUUCUGGAAUUAUAAGGUAAUGGUGGAAAUUUGGUUCAAUAAUAG
Molecule: long non-coding RNA, 201 nt
Filed under: Lathyrus oleraceus (garden pea)
Lineage: Eukaryota; Viridiplantae; Streptophyta; Magnoliopsida; Fabales; Fabaceae
Description: Pisum sativum (pea) long non-coding RNA (PSAT_LNC027557)
Source: RNAcentral